AGCUUUGUGCAAUGGCAGUCUUGUAGCCAAUGAGGUUUAUCAAAAGUGCAAUUAAAUGCUAAUGGAAAACUUUUUCCAACACCCCCAUGGUAAAGAUUUGCAAUAUAGUCAGCACUGGAAAUUUGUGACAGUCUCUAUGGAGA
This is a small nuclear RNA of Lemur catta (Ring-tailed lemur), 143 nucleotides long. RefSeq annotates it as U4 spliceosomal RNA. NCBI's taxonomy places the organism in Eukaryota, Metazoa, Chordata, Mammalia, Primates, Lemuridae. The record is from RefSeq and is a predicted model, not a curated record. The transcript has a single exon.